AAAAAAAAAUCCAAAAAUCUACCAGUGAUAAAAGCACAGACUAUCUACCAAAGAAAGAAAAACAGAAUGAUAUCAGACUUUUCAUCAGCAACACUUGAUGCAUAAAACAAAUAUGGAAUAUAGUCUGAAUCAAUGGGAAAGUUCUCCGGAUAGAAAGAAAAUGAUACCGAUAGAACUUGUAUAUAUGGCAUCGAGCUAUGAAAUAUUGCAUUGUUUGGCUUUUAAGCCUACACUUAAAGCCAAAGAGAAAACUAGAAUUUAUCUUAAGUCUGGGGAUGGGUGUACAAGAACAUUUUAAGAAAGAGAAGUGAAACCGGGGCAUGCUCUGGGCAAAAUGACUAGUGCAUUCAGUCCUGGCUAAGCUUAAUUAAGUAAUGUGAGUUUGGAUACUUAUAAUUUUCUCAGCUGGAUAUUUAUUCUCAUUACACCAAUUGUGGCAAAGUAGUUAUCAAACAUACUCACUGAAUCUCUAUGCCAUACUUUACUUUCUGUAGAGCCUCUGGCAGCUGACAGAGUUUAUUUUACAGAAAACCCCCGGUCAGUGUGAUAGUUCAGAGCAUGACAGCUCCUUCUGCCAUAAGACAUGAUUUGAAUAGAAAGCUUUUGCUCGAAAACAAUGUAGUUUAGCCUAGUCUGUUAAUCAAAAAGUAGAAUGCUAGGAGCGGCAAUUUCAUCAUGUGGAAAACUUUUGAUGCAUUAUCUCAUCUACUCACCAAAUGCAGUCUUCCAGUGAAAAUCACCCCAUAUACUACCAGAUGGAAUUUUAUGCAAGCACAUGUAGAAGUGUGCCAGGAUAGUAAAAGGAGAAAUUUCAAAGCACAGCUGCCAGCUCUGCCUAACAUAGGACUGGAAGAACCAAAUUUAUAAGCGGGUGCUUGCCAGACAGCAGACCUCUCAGUUAAGCCAAUUAUGUAAAUGGGCCUUGAAGAAUGAUUUGUACCAGGAACAGUUUUGGAUGAAAGCCCUGCUCUUGUAAAGCCUUAUCCUGGAUCCAUACUGUUUUAAUAUUUUUGCUUUUCCUCCAGUUUGGUUUGAUUUGAUUUCCUGACUUGUGAAGAAGCUCUCCUUCAUCAAGCAACGGUGGGCAUUCAGAAUAAGACCUUUGUUAAAUUGAUAACUUGCAGGAGGACACGGAAUCAGCAGAAACAAUGGAAUGUUCAUUACUGUGCUAUAUUUUUAAGGUUAAAAAGGUGUUUAGCAAUAACAUUCCACUGAACUACAAUUGUAUUUAACAGCUUUUCUCCAGGAAUACCAAAGGAAACAUAAAAAACAGAAUGGGUUUCAUGCCAUGUGUAAAAUGUUUUACUUCUGGGUUUCAUUUCUUAAAAAAGCCUUCCACAUCUGCCAGGUGCUGACAAAUCAAAUCCUCAAUCUAACUAUAGCCACCAUGUGGAACCUGUGGCUGCGUUUAUGAUCCCAGCAGCUUCUGCUCCAGGCACAGAGUGAAGAAAUUACGAGUCAUACAGCUGAAGUAUGCACAGAAAAGAUUUCAACCUCAAAUAACAUCUGGAACUGAAGUUUCACUCCCCUUGUGUAUCCUCUUGAUACACAAAUGUAUCAAGACUUGGUCAGAACUGAAGGCCAGAACACUUUCAAAAGUGAAGGGAUACAAGCUCAGGAGUGUUAGGUGUUAAGAUCCGUUACCAUACUUUACCAUAUAUAGUCUUGUUUAAAGUUCUUCCAAUCAAAACCUACCAGCCAGCACCUCUGCAUACCAGCCUGCUGUCUCUAACCCAGAAAACUUGUCCCAGACUCCAGAAUGGGGAGAUGGAUUUGAGCUUUGUCUCCU
This is a long non-coding RNA of Cercocebus atys (sooty mangabey), 1789 nucleotides long. RefSeq lists it as uncharacterized. The transcript is spliced from 4 exons. NCBI's taxonomy places the organism in Eukaryota, Metazoa, Chordata, Mammalia, Primates, Cercopithecidae. The record is from RefSeq and is a predicted model, not a curated record.